Molecule: ribosomal RNA, 253 nt
Filed under: uncultured bacterium
Lineage: Bacteria
Description: partial 16S ribosomal RNA
Rfam family: Bacterial small subunit ribosomal RNA
Source: RNAcentral
UACGGAGGGGGCUAGCGUUGUUCGGAAUUACUGGGCGUAAAGCGCGUGUAGGCGGCCCGGAAAGUCGGAUGUGAAAGCCCUGGGCUUAACCCAGGAAGUGCAUUCGAAACUCCCGGGCUUGAGUUCUGGAGAGGAAGGCGGAAUUCUCGGUGUAGAGGUGAAAUUCGUAGAUAUCGAGAGGAACACCGGUGGCGAAGGCGGCCUUCUGGACAGUGACUGACGCUGAGACGCGAAAGCGUGGGGAGCAAACAGG